Molecule: ribosomal RNA, 492 nt
Filed under: uncultured bacterium
Lineage: Bacteria
Description: partial 16S ribosomal RNA
Rfam family: Bacterial small subunit ribosomal RNA
Source: RNAcentral
GAUGAACGCUAGCUACAGGCUUAACACAUGCAAGUCGAGGGGAAACGGCAUCGAAAGCUUGCUUUUGAUGGGCGUCGACCGGCGCACGGGUGAGUAACGCGUAUCCAACCUGCCCAUCACUUGGGAAUAACCUUGCGAAAGUAAGACUAAUGCCCAAUGACAUCCCACGAAGGCAUCCGAAUGGGAUUAAAGAUUUAUCGGUGAUGGAUGGGGAUGCGUCUGAUUAGCUUGUUGGCGGGGUGACGGCCCACCAAGGCAACGAUCAGUAGGGGUUCUGAGAGGAAGGUCCCCCACAUUGGAACUGAGACACGGACCAAACUCCUACGGGAGGCAGCAGUGAGGAAUAUUGGUCAAUGGGCGAGAGCCUGAACCAGCCAAGUAGCGUGCAGGAUGACGGCCCUAUGGGUUGUAAACUGCUUUUAUAAGGGAAUAAAGUGGGUCACGUGUGACUUUUUGCAUGUACCUUAUGAAUAAGGACCGGCUAAUUCCGUG